This 29-nucleotide non-coding RNA is filed under the name Cricetulus griseus (Chinese hamster). The record is from RNAcentral. Lineage: Eukaryota; Metazoa; Chordata; Mammalia; Rodentia; Cricetidae.
GAAAUAUUUGGGAAUGGUCUUAACAGGGA